AAGUCGUAACAAGGUUUCCGUAGGUGAACCUGCGGAAGGAUCAUUACCGAGAUAGGGUCCCUAGGGGCCCGACCUCCAACCCCAUAUCUACCUUACCACUGUUGCCUCGGCGGGACGCCGACGCCCCCUAGAAAGGGCGCUGGCCGUCGGCCUCGCGGUCGUCGAGCGCCCGUCGACGGACGAUUUAAAACCCUUUUUAAUGAAGCCUUCUGAGAGUAUUAUACAAUACUUCAAAACUUUCAACAACGGAUCUCUUGGUUCUG
Molecule: unclassified non-coding RNA, 263 nt
Filed under: air metagenome
Description: partial contains small subunit ribosomal RNA, internal transcribed spacer 1, and 5.8S ribosomal RNA
Rfam family: Eukaryotic small subunit ribosomal RNA (bases 1-46)
Source: RNAcentral